This 491-nucleotide ribosomal RNA is filed under the name uncultured bacterium. Its description in RNAcentral is "partial 16S ribosomal RNA". It matches the Rfam family "Bacterial small subunit ribosomal RNA", at positions 28 to 507 of the family's 1533-position model. The record is from RNAcentral.
GAUGAACGCUGGCUACAGGCUUAGCACAUGCAAGUCGAGGGGAAACGACGGGGAAGCUUGCUUCCCCGGGCGUCGACCGGCGCACGGGUGAGUAACGCGUAUCCAACCUGCCUCUGACUGAGGGAUAACCCGUCGAAAGUCGGCCUAAUACCUCAUGGUAUCGUCUGCGGGCAUCCAACGACGAUUAAAGAUUUCAUCGGUCAGGGAUGGGGAUGCGUCUGAUUAGCUUGUUGGCGGGGUAACGGCCCACCCAGGCUACGAUCAGUAGGGGUUCUGAGGGGAAGGUCCCCCACAUUGGAACCGAGACACGGUCCAAACAGCUACGGGGGGGAGCAGUGCGGAAGAUUGGUCAAUGGGCGAGAGCCUGAACCGGCCAAGUAGCGUGCAGGAAGACGGCCCUAUGGGUUGUAAACUGCUUUUAUGCGGGGGUAAAGUGAGGGACAUGUCCCUCAUUGCAGGUACCGCAUGAAUAAGGACCGGCUAAUUCCGUG